RNAcentral lists this ribosomal RNA (253 nucleotides) under uncultured bacterium. Its description in RNAcentral is "partial 16S ribosomal RNA". It matches the Rfam family "Bacterial small subunit ribosomal RNA", at positions 524 to 776 of the family's 1533-position model. The record is from RNAcentral.
UACGUAGGGUGCAAGCGUUGUCCGGAUUUAUUGGGCGUAAAGAGCGUGUAGGCGGCCAGGUAGGUCUGCUGUGAAAACUCGAGGCUCAACCUCGAGACGUCGGCGGAAACCAUCUGGCUAGAGUCCGGGAGGGGAGAGCGGAAUUCCUAGUGUAGCGGUGAAAUGCGCAGAUAUUAAGAAGAACACCGGUGGCGAAGGCGGCUCUCUGGAACGGUACUGACGCUGAGACGCGAAAGCGUGGGGAGCGAACAGG